Molecule: long non-coding RNA, 541 nt
Organism: Sarcophilus harrisii (Tasmanian devil)
Lineage: Eukaryota; Metazoa; Chordata; Mammalia; Dasyuromorphia; Dasyuridae
Exons: 3
Source: RefSeq, a predicted model, not a curated record
GUGUGGAGUUGAGGCUCGUUUAUGGUGUAUCUUGAGCAAGUCUCGGAGGUCUUUUACAAAGUUCCUGGUCCCCUGUUCCCCGUUUUCUGGGUUGGCUUCAGAUUCUACAUCAAAGAUCCUGAGGUCCCAGAAGGAGUUGCAGAGUGGAACCUCAGACUCUGGAAGCCGUCUAUAUAUAUCCGAAGGCGUUCUGGGAACCCAAGGUUUGAGACAUGAAAGCUACCCAACUGCAUAAACAGGAUGCCCAUCAUCUGGAAGAGCUGGGCGUCUGGAACCUCAGAGAGUCAGCAAGGGUCUGCGAGAAUCUCUAAGAAGAGAUUACUGUCUCAACUCCAAGAAUGAGGCUAGAUCCCGCAUUCCUGGAGAGUUAGCCAGAGGAAGUAGAAAUACCAGCUCAACUGAAAAAGGUCAGGACAAGUACUCCCGACUCAAAGAUGUGUAUUCAAAUUGAAGUUGAUUAGUUACUCUGGAUUCAUUCUCUGUUCACUUCUUUCCCUUCCCUCCUCCUCUUCCUCCUCCUCCUUUUUCCUCUCCUCCCUCU